This is a ribosomal RNA of 566 nucleotides. It matches the Rfam family "Bacterial large subunit ribosomal RNA", at positions 1795 to 2593 of the family's 2925-position model.
CCCGCCUGUUUACCAAAAACAUCACCUCUAGCAUUACUAGUAUUAGAGGCACUGCCUGCCCAGUGACACUAGUUAAACGGCCGCGGUAUCCUGACCGUGCAAAGGUAGCAUAAUCAUUUGUUCCUUAAUUAGGGACUUGUAUGAAUGGCCCCACGAGGGUUUGACUGUCUCUUACUUUUAAUCAGUGAAAUUGACCUUCCCGUGACGAGGCGGGAAUAAUAUAAUAAGACGAGAAGACCCUAUGGAGCUUAAAUUAAAUUAUCCAAUAUGAUUAAAUCUUUAUAAACCUAGUAGGAAUAAUAUUAUUUUUAACUGGAUAAUAAAUUUUGGUUGGGGUGACCUCGGAGCAUAAAAUAACCUCCGAGUAAUUCAACUAAGACUAAUUCGUCAAAGUGACUUUACUAUUGAUCCAAUCAUAUUGAUCAACGGACCAAGUUACCCUAGGGAUAACAGCGCAAUCCUAUUUAAGAGUUCCUAUCGACAAUAGGGUUUACGACCUCGAUGUUGGAUCAGGACACCCAAAUGGUGCAGCAGCUAUUAAAGGUUCGUUUGUUCAACGAUUAAAG